Molecule: long non-coding RNA, 1949 nt
Filed under: Homo sapiens (human)
Lineage: Eukaryota; Metazoa; Chordata; Mammalia; Primates; Hominidae
Description: HSALNT0022323
Source: RNAcentral
AGAAAGUUUUCGAUUUUGCUAAAACUUUUAGCUUGGAGGGCACAUGUCAGAGCACCUUUGGAUCGUUUCAGCUGGAGACCCUUGACGGUCCCUAACCCAGAACCGGUCCAGCAUAUAGUAGAGGCUCAAAUGAUGUGCACAUCUGUAGAUGAGUAACAUCGAGGCUGUGAGUGGCCCUUCUGUCCCCAGCAUGUCUCCCUUGGCUCUGAGCAAUGCUUUUGAGGAGGAUGGCACUUUUGUGGGCUUUAAAAAAAAAUUAUGCAGAUCUAUUCUAAUUUUUAAAAAUCUCUUCCUUUCAUUACAUUUUAGCUAAUAGGCUGUCCUCCAUCACCUCUGGAGCUGCCUGGCAGCCCUGUCAUCCCUUGUCUCAGGUCACACACUCUGUCCUCCAUGUCCUCCACGGUGGUCAUCUGGAACCAAGCCAGGGGAGUCCCGUUCCUCUUAAAAUUCUGAACGGAAUCUUGAACAGUACCAGGACGAAAGGAAGCCCAGGGCUCAAUGAGCAAAGAGGAAAAAAUGAAAAGUGAGAAAUGGUGAGGACAUACAAAGCAAGGGAGAGUGAAGACCAAUGGAUAUGGGAAAAUUCAAAUUACAGCUACAAAACUGUGCUCUUGGCCUGGAAGAGUAGUCAGCACAGGCUGCAGGGUCCCUGAUGGAGGCAAGAAAAAGGAGACCUGGCUUAGAUCGCUGAAGCUGACCCAAAGUGGCCUCAAAGAGUCAUCUCCUGGGCGCUCCCGACCGGCAACCGACUGACGUAGCGAUCAGCUUGGGGGAGGUGGGGGCCAAGGGGCCCGCGCUGACCGUGAACUGAAUGAAUAUUCGGCGGGCAGGUUGGGGAUCCGAGACCACGGAAGACCCAGGACCUUCCUAUGCUACACCCAAAGCCAUUGAGAACGGGGCGAGACCCUGUGACCCCCGAAGGUAGGAGGCCUUGGAGCGAGAUCUGAGCCCCAGACCACGAGAGCCUGGCUGCGUAGAGUCUCAGGGACACCUCUUUGGAGGCGUGCGCGGCCCGCAUUUCAGCAGGUAGUGAAAUUCAACAGUGGCCGGAUUGUGAUGACGGAUGCAAGUCGGGACUGCCAGAUAGGGGAUCCUAUUCGCUCAUUAGUUCAUUCUUUUGAUCUUUCGUUCACUUGCUCAUUUCUUGAGCUUCUACCACGUGCUGGGUGCACUCGUCACGCGGAUUCUGAGAAACAAAAAUAAACAGCCCCGACAAAUUAAAACGAGGCUAAAAUUUGCAGACUGGGAAAUCUCUGGUCGAGGACAGUGGGGAUUGAGGGUGGCUAGGGAAUUCCGCAGAACAGGCACUUUUGCUCCGCAGAGAGAGGCGGCGGGGUGCAGACGCACUAAGACCAACUCGCCUAGCGUUCUUACCCGCUCUGCGGUGCUCUUCCGUGUUCCAAGAGAGGCUCGGGCAGAUCUUAGCGCUCCGCACCCCCGCAUAAGUGAGGGACUGGAGAAAGCACAGAAAGCUUUGGACUUCUGUCCUGGUUCUUGACGUUGACCACUAGGGAAGUGACCUUGAGUGAGUCAUUCAACCUCCCUACCAGUUGGUUUCCACCUACAACGAUGCCCAAAUGGUACGCAGACCAGAGUUUCGGCCGCCUGCAUCGAGUCCUGCUUGUGAACGCGUUCUCUUGCCUCUCUGUGAUGACCUUAGCAUCGGGGAUCCUAAUGGGUCCUCGACCAGAUGAUUCGCAGCUCCAGGUCCACUCCCGGGGUUACUACCUGGUACUUCUGGGUCGUGUUGCACAGCCUCCUACUGUGUUUAUAAUGCUACCUACCCUGCGAUGCUAUAAAUAACCACAAGGGCCACAAUAAUUAUACUUGUCGUUCAUUCAGUAAACACUUUUGGGGGUGCAUUUCCUGUGCCAAGCACUGAGCUAGGUGCUAGAGCUUCUCCAACCAUGCAGCAGAGUCCAGCCCUGCUCUCAAGAAGCCGAGGGUGC